UUUACCCAGUGGUCUCAAGACCAAAGUGAGGAAGCUUAAAAGGCGGGUGAGCGGCGGGGUAACUGUGACUCGCUUUAAGACAGCCAAAUGCCUUGCCAUCUAGUCAGUGACGCGUAAUAAAUGG
Ribosomal RNA from Aspergillus nidulans FGSC A4, 124 nucleotides. It matches the Rfam family "Eukaryotic large subunit ribosomal RNA", at positions 2197 to 2322 of the family's 3401-position model. NCBI's taxonomy places the organism in Eukaryota, Fungi, Ascomycota, Eurotiomycetes, Eurotiales, Aspergillaceae. The record is from Rfam.